This 321-nucleotide ribosomal RNA is filed under the name Alkaliphilus peptidifermentans DSM 18978. Its description in RNAcentral is "bacterial SSU rRNA". It matches the Rfam family "Bacterial small subunit ribosomal RNA", at positions 1 to 304 of the family's 1533-position model. Lineage: Bacteria; Bacillati; Bacillota; Clostridia; Peptostreptococcales; Natronincolaceae. The record is from RNAcentral.
UUUUGAUUAAGAGUUUGAUCCUGGCUCAGGAUGAACGCUGGCGGCGUGCCUAACACAUGCAAGUCGAGCGGAGUUUAUUAAAGGAAGUUUUCGGAUGGAAUUUAAUAAACUUAGCGGCGGACGGGUGAGUAACGCGUGGGCAACCUACCCUGUACAGAGGGACAACAACGGGAAACCGUUGCUAAUACCUCAUAAAACCCUAAAGGGGCAUCCCUUAUGGGUCAAAGAAUUUCGGUACAGGAUGGGCCCGCGUCUGAUUAGCUAGUUGGUGGGGUAAUGGCCCACCAAGGCGACGAUCAGUAGCCGACCUGAGAGGGUGAU